GACGAACGCUGGCGGCGUGCUUAACACAUGCAAGUCGAACGGAAAGGCCCUUCUUUUGUUGGGUGCUCGAGUGGCGAACGGGUGAGUAACACGUGAGUAACCUGCCCUUGACUUUGGGAUAACUUCAGGACACUGGGGCUAAUAUCGUAUAGGAUCUCCUGCUGCAUGGUGGGGGUUGGAAAGUUUCGGCGGUUGGGUCUGUAGUCGCGGCUUUUCAGGUCGUUGGUCGGGUAGUGGCUGACCUAGGCUUUGACGGGUAGCCGGCCUGAGAGGGUUGGCGGCAAGACUGGGACUGAGAUACGGGGCAGCAGCGUAGGGGAGGGAGCAGUGGGGAAUAUUGUGCAGUGGGCGGACGGCGGAUGCAGCAAAGGCGUGUGGGGGAUGAAGGCCUUUGGGUUGUAAAGCGCUUUCGCCUGUGAUGAAGCGGGGGUGACGGUAGCUGGUAAAGAAGCACCGGCUAACUACGUG
RNAcentral lists this ribosomal RNA (468 nucleotides) under uncultured bacterium. RNAcentral's name for it is "partial 16S ribosomal RNA". It matches the Rfam family "Bacterial small subunit ribosomal RNA", at positions 28 to 507 of the family's 1533-position model. The record is from RNAcentral.